This 73-nucleotide transfer RNA is filed under the name Bacteroidia bacterium. RNAcentral describes it as "tRNA-Thr". It matches the Rfam family "tRNA". From Rfam's summary of the family: Transfer RNA (tRNA) molecules are approximately 80 nucleotides in length. The record is from RNAcentral. Lineage: Bacteria; Pseudomonadati; Bacteroidota; Bacteroidia.
GCCAGCGUAGCUCAGCGGUAGAGCACUUCCUUGGUAAGGAAGGGGUCGCGAGUUCAAUUCUCGCCGCCGGCUC